RNAcentral lists this unclassified non-coding RNA (355 nucleotides) under uncultured fungus. RNAcentral's name for it is "partial contains 5.8S ribosomal RNA and internal transcribed spacer 2". The stretch from base 1 to 133 matches the Rfam family "5.8S ribosomal RNA", at positions 22 to 154 of the family's 154-position model. The record is from RNAcentral. Lineage: Eukaryota; Fungi.
UGGUUCCCGCAUCGAUGAAGAACGCAGCGAAACGCGAUAGUUAAUGUGAAUUGCAGAAUUCAGUGAAUCAUCGAGUCUUUGAACGCACAUUGCGCCUUUUGGUAUUCCGAGAGGCACGCCUGUCUGAGCGUCAGCAAAACCUUCGGGAGUAGUACUUUUGUGACUCAUCCCCGGCGUUGGCGGCGGGCGGUCCCCCCCUUUGGGGGCGGGAUCCCCCCGCUUAAACCUGGCGCGGGGCAAGUGCUGGUAGCCGCCUCAAUAGUAGAAAUAUUUUUGAAAGCCAUACCGGCAGCUUCUGCCCCCAAAGUUAGUUCUACCUUUCUUUGACCUCAGAUCAGACGAGGAUACCCGCUGA